RNAcentral lists this ribosomal RNA (496 nucleotides) under uncultured Acidobacteriota bacterium. Its description in RNAcentral is "bacterial SSU rRNA". It matches the Rfam family "Bacterial small subunit ribosomal RNA", at positions 38 to 564 of the family's 1533-position model. The record is from RNAcentral. Lineage: Bacteria; Pseudomonadati; Acidobacteriota.
GGCGGCGUGCCUAACACAUGCAAGUCGAACGAGAAAGUGGUAGCAAUACCAUGAGUAAAGUGGCGCACGGGUGAGUAACACGUGACUAACCUACCCUGNANUGGGGGAUAACUGAGGGAAACCUUAGNUAAUACCGCAUAAUACCUACGGGUCAAAGGAGCAAUUCGCUNCAGGAGGGGGUCGCGGCCGAUUAUUUAGUUGGCGGGGUAAUGGCCCACCAAGACAGUGAUCGGUAUCCGGCCUGAGAGGGCGCACGGACACACUGGAACUGAAACACGGUCCACACUCCUACGGGAGGCAGCAGUGGGGAAUUCUGCGCAAUGGGGGAAACCCUGACGCAGCAACGCCGCGUGGAGGAUGAAGUCCCUCGGGACGUAAACUCCUUUCGAUCGGGACGAUUAUGACGGUACCGGAAGAAGAACCCCGGCUAACUUCGUGCCAGCAGCCGCGGUAAUACGAAGGGGGCGAGCGUUGUUCCGGAAUUAUUGGGCGUAAA